This 1783-nucleotide ribosomal RNA is filed under the name Escherichia coli. RNAcentral describes it as "partial 23S ribosomal RNA". It matches the Rfam family "Bacterial large subunit ribosomal RNA", at positions 439 to 2207 of the family's 2925-position model. Lineage: Bacteria; Pseudomonadati; Pseudomonadota; Gammaproteobacteria; Enterobacterales; Enterobacteriaceae. The record is from RNAcentral.
UGAAUAUGGGGGGACCAUCCUCCAAGGCUAAAUACUCCUGACUGACCGAUAGUGAACCAGUACCGUGAGGGAAAGGCGAAAAGAACCCCGGCGAGGGGAGUGAAAAAGAACCUGAAACCGUGUACGUACAAGCAGUGGGAGCCUCUUAAUGGGGUGACUGCGUACCUUUUGUAUAAUGGGUCAGCGACUUAUAUUCUGUAGCAAGGUUAACCGAAUAGGGGAGCCGAAGGGAAACCGAGUCUUAACUGGGCGUUAAGUUGCAGGGUAUAGACCCGAAACCCGGUGAUCUAGCCAUGGGCAGGUUGAAGGUUGGGUAACACUAACUGGAGGACCGAACCGACUAAUGUUGAAAAAUUAGCGGAUGACUUGUGGCUGGGGGUGAAAGGCCAAUCAAACCGGGAGAUAGCUGGUUCUCCCCGAAAGCUAUUUAGGUAGCGCCUCGUGAAUUCAUCUCCGGGGGUAGAGCACUGUUUCGGCAAGGGGGUCAUCCCGACUUACCAACCCGAUGCAAACUGCGAAUACCGGAGAAUGUUAUCACGGGAGACACACGGCGGGUGCUAACGUCCGUCGUGAAGAGGGAAACAACCCAGACCGCCAGCUAAGGUCCCAAAGUCAUGGUUAAGUGGGAAACGAUGUGGGAAGGCCCAGACAGCCAGGAUGUUGGCUUAGAAGCAGCCAUCAUUUAAAGAAAGCGUAAUAGCUCACUGGUCGAGUCGGCCUGCGCGGAAGAUGUAACGGGGCUAAACCAUGCACCGAAGCUGCGGCAGCGACACUAUGUGUUGUUGGGUAGGGGAGCGUUCUGUAAGCCUGUGAAGGUGGCCUGUGAGGGUUGCUGGAGGUAUCAGAAGUGCGAAUGCUGACAUAAGUAACGAUAAAGCGGGUGAAAAGCCCGCUCGCCGGAAGACCAAGGGUUCCUGUCCAACGUUAAUCGGGGCAGGGUGAGUCGACCCCUAAGGCGAGGCCGAAAGGCGUAGUCGAUGGGAAACAGGUUAAUAUUCCUGUACUUGGUGUUACUGCGAAGGGGGGACGGAGAAGGCUAUGUUGGCCGGGCGACGGUUGUCCCGGUUUAAGCGUGUAGGCUGGUUUUCCAGGCAAAUCCGGAAAACCAAGGCUGAGGCGUGAUGACGAGGCACUACGGUGCUGAAGCGACAAAUGCCCUGCUUCCAGGAAAAGCCUCUAAGCAUCAGGUAACAUCAAAUCGUACCCCAAACCGACACAGGUGGUCAGGUAGAGAAUACCAAGGCGCUUGAGAGAACUCGGGUGAAGGAACUAGGCAAAAUGGUGCCGUAACUUCGGGAGAAGGCACGCUGAUAUGUAGGUGAAGCGACUUGCUCGUGGAGCUGAAAUCAGUCGAAGAUACCAGCUGGCUGCAACUGUUUAUUAAAAACACAGCACUGUGCAAACACGAAAGUGGACGUAUACGGUGUGACGCCUGCCCGGUGCCGGAAGGUUAAUUGAUGGGGUUAGCGGCAACGCGAAGCUCUUGAUCGAAGCCCCGGUAAACGGCGGCCGUAACUAUAACGGUCCUAAGGUAGCGAAAUUCCUUGUCGGGUAAGUUCCGACCUGCACGAAUGGCGUAAUGAUGGCCAGGCUGUCUCCACCCGAGACUCAGUGAAAUUGAACUCGCUGUGAAGAUGCAGUGUACCCGCGGCAAGACGGAAAGACCCCGUGAACCUUUACUAUAGCUUGACACUGAACAUUGAGCCUUGAUGUGUAGGAUAGGUGGGAGGCUUUGAAGUGUGGACGCCAGUCUGCAUGGAGCCGACCUUGAAAUACCACCCUU